GCGGCUGCUGUCGCGGAGAAAUGACGUAGGCACAGCCCGGUGCUGUCAGUCAGAGUUCUGCCUGGUCCGGGCCAAGGGUCCCGCGGGACCGGCGGGGCCAUGGCGGCCGUAUUUGAUUUAGACUUGGAGACCGAGGAAGGGAGCGAGGGCGAGGGCGAACCGGAGUUCAGCCCUGCGGACGUGUGUCCCCUUGGCGAAUUAAGGGCUGCUGGCCUGGAGACAGUGGGACACUAUGAAGAAGUAGAGCUGACAGAGAGCAGCGUGAACCUGGGUCCUGAGCGCAUCGGGCCCCACUGCUUUGAGCUACUGAGUGUACUGGGCAAGGGGGGCUAUGGCAAGGUGUUCCAGGUGAGAAAAGUGCAAGGCACCAACUUGGGAAAAAUAUAUGCCAUGAAGGUCUUAAGGAAGGCCAAGAUUGUAUGCAGUGCCAAGGACACAGCCCAUACCCGGGCUGAGAGGAACAUUCUAGAAUCUGUGAAGCAUCCCUUCAUUGUAGAACUGGCCUAUGCUUUCCAGACAGGUGGCAAACUCUACCUCAUCCUGGAGUGCCUCAGUGGUGGUGAGCUCUUCACACAUCUUGAGCGAGAAGGCAUCUUCCUGGAAGACACAGCCUGCUUCUACCUGGCAGAGAUCACACUAGCCCUGGGCCAUCUCCAUUCCCACGGCAUCAUCUACCGGGACCUCAAGCCUGAGAACAUCAUGCUCAGCAGCCAGGGCCACAUCAAACUGACAGACUUUGGACUUUGCAAGGAGUCCAUUCAUGAGGGUGCUAUCACUCACACCUUCUGUGGCACCAUUGAGUACAUGGCCCCAGAGAUUCUAGUGCGCACUGGUCACAACCGGGCAGUGGACUGGUGGAGCCUGGGAGCCCUGAUGUACGACAUGCUCACUGGAUCGGCAAGUCCAGCUUCCUUGGGCGCAGGCCGCCCUUCACUGCAGAGAACCGGAAGAAAACUAUGGAUAAAAUCAUUAAAGGGAAGCUGGUGCUGCCCCCCUACCUCACCCCGGAUGCCCGGGACCUUGCCAAAAAGGUGGGGCUCCUUCUCAUCCAGGGACUUAUUUCUGCCUCUUCCCUAAACCCUGUCAGCAACUCUGCAUGUCUGAUCGACUGUCCCUAGGCUCUGGGGAAGGCCAUGCCUUAACCCCCUGCCUGUGCAGUUUGUCUCUGGGGAUGGCAGACACAUUGGCUUUGGAAUGAGAACCCUGAGUUUAGGCCUGGGCUCCGAGAGCCUGAGCACUGUCCCUGAGCAGGACUGAAUCUCUGUCUUUAUCAGCAGGGUGUUCUUGUGAGUUAGCCCUGCUCCAUCAGAAAGGCCACGACCAGCCUCCUAAGGGAAGGGGAAUGCCACCAAGGUUGCAUGAAGAGGGCACUGUUGACCCAACUCUGAAAGGAUUGAGGGGUGCAUCGGGCAGAGGCCAUGUUCUAGACCCUAUUUCUGCUUGCCUGGUCCCCAUUCUGGAGGCUGGGCACACACCAUCUACUUCUCUCCACCCUUACCUUACCCUGUUCAGUUUCUGAAGCGGAACCCCACUCAGCGAAUUGGGGGUGGCCUGGGAGAUGCUGCUGAUGUCCAGAGGCACCCCUUUUUCCGGCACAUCAAUUGGGAUGAUCUCUUGGCCCGCCGCGUGGACCCUCCCUUCAGGCCAAGUCUGCAAUCAGAAGAGGAUGUGAGCCAGUUUGAUGCACGAUUCACACGGCAGACGCCGGUAGAUAGUCCAGAUGACACAGCCCUCAGUGAGAGUGCCAACCAAGCCUUCCUGGGCUUUACAUAUGUGGCACCUUCUGUCCUGGACAGCAUCAAAGAGGGCUUCUCCUUCCAGCCCAAGCUGCGUUCUCCCAGACGCCUUAACAGCAGUCCCCGCACCCCCAUCAGCCCCCUCAAGUUCUCUCCCUUUGAGGGGUUCCGGCCCAGUCCCGGCCCACCAGAGCCCAUGGAGCCAUCUCUACCUCCACUCCUACCAUCACCACCAUCACCACCACCCACAAGCACUGCCCCCCUUCCCAUCCGUCCUCCCUCAGGAACCAAGAAGUCCAAGAAGGGACGGGGCCGCUCAGGGCGUUAGGAGAAUAGAGGAAGAGAGGGCAGCUGUGAGAACCCGGCUCGUUCCGACCUGCGGAUAGUCAAGCGAUCAGAGUAUGUCUUGUGUGUGAGAGUGAGCCUUACAAUCAUGUCCACUGAAGCCACUGGCAGUGGCUCCCAACCCCCAUCCCAUUAGAAGGGACUUGGCCUGCCCUUUGGAACUGUGCCCUUGUAGAAGAAGUAAAGGACUGAAUCAUG
Molecule: RNA transcript, 2279 nt
Organism: Mus musculus (house mouse)
Lineage: Eukaryota; Metazoa; Chordata; Mammalia; Rodentia; Muridae
Gene: Rps6kb2
Gene name: ribosomal protein S6 kinase, polypeptide 2
Exons: 14
Source: RefSeq, marked validated